UACGGAGGGUGCAAACGUUGCUCGGAAUCAUUGGGCGUAAAGCGCACGUAGGCGGUCCGGUAAGUCGGAUGUGAAAGCCCUCGGCUCAACCGAGGAAGUGCAUUUGAAACUGCCGGACUUGAGUAUGGGAGAGGGGAGUGGAAUUCCCGGUGUAGAGGUGAAAUUCGUAGAUAUUGGGAGGAACACCCGUGGCGAAGGCGACUUCCUGGACCAAUACUGACGCUGAGGCGCGAAAGCGUGGGGAGCAAACAGG
RNAcentral lists this ribosomal RNA (253 nucleotides) under uncultured bacterium. Its description in RNAcentral is "partial 16S ribosomal RNA". It matches the Rfam family "Bacterial small subunit ribosomal RNA", at positions 524 to 776 of the family's 1533-position model. The record is from RNAcentral.